Molecule: ribosomal RNA, 482 nt
Filed under: uncultured bacterium
Lineage: Bacteria
Description: partial 16S ribosomal RNA
Rfam family: Bacterial small subunit ribosomal RNA
Source: RNAcentral
AUUGAACGCUGGCGGCAUGCUUUACACAUGCAAGUCGAACGGUAACAGGCCGCAAGGUGCUGACGAGUGGCGAACGGGUGAGUAAUGCAUCGGAACGUGCCCAGUCGUGGGGGAUAACUACUCGAAAGAGUAGCUAAUACCGCAUACGAUCUAUGGAUGAAAGCGGGGGACCGUAAGGCCUCGCGCGAUUGGAGCGGCCGAUGUCAGAUUAGGUAGUUGGUGGGGUAAAGGCUCACCAAGCCAACGAUCUGUAGCUGGUCUGAGAGGACGACCAGCCACACUGGGACUGAGACACGGCCCAGACUCCUACGUGAGGCAGCAGUGGGGAAUUUUGGACAAUGGGCGCAAGCCUGAUCCAGCAAUGCCGCGUGCAGGAAGAAGGCCUUCGGGUUGUAAACUGCUUUUGUACGGAACGAAACGGCUCUGGUUAAUACCCGGGGCUAAUGACGGUACCGUAAGAAUAAGCACCGGCUAACUACGUG